RNAcentral lists this ribosomal RNA (483 nucleotides) under uncultured bacterium. RNAcentral describes it as "bacterial SSU rRNA". It matches the Rfam family "Bacterial small subunit ribosomal RNA", at positions 28 to 521 of the family's 1533-position model. The record is from RNAcentral.
GACGAACGCUGGCGGCGUGCUUAACACAUGCAAGUCAAGGGGGCCCAGCAAUGGGCAACCGGCGAACGGGUGCGUAACACGUGAGCAACCUACCGAACUGUGGGGGAUAGCCGGCCUAACGGCCGAGUAAUACCGCAUACGCUCUCAGGGGAGGCAUUUCUUUGAGAGGAAACCUACGGGACAGAUCGAGGGGCUCGCGGCCUAUCAGCUAGUUGGCGAGGUAACGGCUCACCAAGGCAACGACGGUAGCUGGUCUGAGAGGAUGGCCAGCCACAUUGGGACUGAGAUACGGCCCAGACUCCUACGGGAGGCAGCAGGUGGGGAAUCUUGCGCAAUGGCCUAACGGCUGACGCAGCGACGCCGCGUGUGGGAUGAAGCUCUUCGGAGUGUAAACACUGUUGCCCGGGACGAAUAGCUCGAUUAAUCGAGCCUGACGGUACCGGGUGAGGAAGCACCGGCUAACUCCGUGCCAGCCGCCGCAGU